This 253-nucleotide ribosomal RNA is filed under the name uncultured bacterium. Its description in RNAcentral is "partial 16S ribosomal RNA". It matches the Rfam family "Bacterial small subunit ribosomal RNA", at positions 524 to 776 of the family's 1533-position model. The record is from RNAcentral.
UACGGAGGGUGCAAGCGUUAUCCGGAUUCACUGGGUUUAAAGGGAGCGUAGGCGGAAUAAUAAGUCAGUGUUGAAACCCCCGGGCUCAACUUGGGAAUUGCCAUUGAUACUGUUAUUCUUGAGUUCGGUUGAGGUAGGCGGAAUGUUGCAUGUAGCGGUGAAAUGCUUAGAUAUGCAACAGAACACCGAUUGCGAAGGAAGCUUACCAAGCCGACACUGACGCUGAAGCUCGAAAGCGUGGGGAUCAAACAGG